AACAACAACAGCAGCACGACGCUCCCGUACACGUAUCAGCAGCUUUUUGCAGCUUCGCUUACAAAUCACAAACUGUAAUCAGGGAAGCCGUUUCAAUAAUAUGUGUAGACACACAGAGAGUGUUACAACCUUACACCAUCAAGCUAAUUACAUGUCUCUCUGUUCACCCCCAGAGGUCAUCCACCUCAUGGCCUGUUGGGCAACAAGCUGUUCAGCUAAUCAGCAGAGAGCCUCUUCUCUCCAGGGAGAGGCAUGAAGAGAACACCACGGUGACAUCACAACAAAUAGCAGCCGCUGUGAUGUCACAAUGGAGGCAUCAUAAAUCUGUUUGUGACCACAUCUGCUCCACCGUGGAGGUCUCCUGAUAAGACUGGCUGUGAGGGUCGCAGGGGGUGGAGUCUGUCCCAGCUGCCUCAAGGUGAAGGCAGGGUUCACCUGGACAGGUCUCCCUGCAUGUACAGUCAAACCUCUACAGAUGAUCCAGAAUGCAGCAGCACGUCUGGUCUUCAACCAGCCCAAAAGAGCUCAUGUCACUCCCCUGUUCAUCUCCCUUCACUGGCUUCCAGUUGCAGCCAGAAUCAAAUUCAAAACUCUCCUCCUGGCUUACAAAACAUUUACAAGAACGGCCCCAGCCUACCUGGAUUCCUUGAUCCAGGUCUACUCCCCUUCACGCCCACUUCGCUCUGCAUGUGAGAGACGCCUGGUGCUUCCAGCCCAGAAUGGCUCCAAAUCUCUAACCAGACUCUUCUCCUCUGUUGUUCCCAAAUGGUGGAGCAAACUACCAAUCUCUGUGCGUUCUGCUGAGUCCCUUUCUACUUUUAAGAGACAAUUGAAGACUCAAUUGUUCAGAGAACACCUAGGCACUUAAUCUGACUCCACCUUAGGGGUAGAAUAAGUCAGGGGGUCCAAAACCCAGCACUUAUUUAGCACUGACAAAGUUUGAAAAAAAGGGGGGGGGAGGGUAGCAAUUCUUCUGCAACUUGAUGGCAACACCUUUGACCAAUCACACUUGAAGCACUUUUUGCACUUACUACAGGUUUUUCCUUAUGUCUGAAUUCUUGCUUGUGUUGUACGUCGCUUUGGACAAAAGCGUCUGCUAAAUGAAAGGUUGUUGCUAGAGAUACGGACCCGUACCCGUAGUCUGUGGACUACGGAUACGGCACUUGCCAUUUGCCAAUCAGAUACGCGAGAUCUGGUUGCUUACCUUUCAACAGUUUGCAGUGGUUAGCAGCUUCUUGACUCGCGAGACUCGCGUACGGGUCCGUAUCUGUCUGGCAAACGGAAAGUGCCGUAUCCGUAGGCCACAGACUACGGAUACGGGUCCGUAUCUGUAGACACUACCAAAUGAAAUUGUAGAAUUGUAGAAUUGUAGUAAGGUUUAUAAGUCUGAACAGUGAAAACUACUUCCAGUGACCAGAUACACUGCAUGCUCAUAGAGUGUAUGUGAAUGUUGUAUCCCCCACCCUCAGUCUGUUUUCCUGACUUUUAAUGCACUUUUCAACUUUAAAAUCAUCUUUAUACUCUUGACUUCUGAUCUACCUUUAGAUCUUAUUUGUAUGCUUUUGAUGUAUGAUUUUAAAGUCUACUUUUAAAUCAUCUUUCUAAUUAAUUUUCUGAAUGUAUUUUUUGCCAUUGUAAAGCACCUUGAAUUCUCUUUUGUAUGAAUUAUGCUGUAUAAAUAAACUUGCUUUGCCUUGGAACUACCUCAGUUUGUACCUUUCGACUAACAGUGACAUUUUUGUCAACUUAUUCUUUGACAAACAGAUGACAAAAACCCUUCCAAAGUAGAGAAAGGACCAGCUCAUGGAUCCAUAAGACACCACAGAUUUGAUCCAUUAUUUAUGUACAAGCUCUAAUGUUUGCUGCUGUCUGUUUGCAUGAAAUUUAUAAGGACGAUUUGUGGGACAUGGAAUAGAGAAUGACCCCAAAUCACCCAGAAAUUAGAUGAACAUUAAAAGUUCGUGUACGUAAUGAGCAGAAAAUGUUCAUUAUCCUGCUCAGAGAGCAGAACUGCUGUUAGCUUCAGUGAUCUACUCAGAGUGUUGGAGUUUUAAAAAGGGGUGGACGGUCUCACGCUGAAACUGCAGGAAGAAAAGCCUGUAAGACGGCUCACUGUGUGUUCAUGGCAGCUUAAUGAAUGACGCUAACAAUCAUCAUGCUCGGUGUUCAACGUGUGUGGAAGGAGUCGCAGUGUUGGCCGAUGACUGCUGCUUGGAAAACAUAACCUGUUCUUCUGCUUUUAAUCUUCCACAGGAAAAAAAAACUGUUUGCAGGGUCUCUUUUUACGACGCCGUGUGGCUGAUCAAUAAAACUGAUUAACUUGUGUAUUGACACAGUUUGUCAGGAGUGAAGCUUAAUGUGCCGACGCCUUUCCCCUCUGAGCCACUCUGUUUGAUUUUUGUAACCAAUAUGAUGCAAACCGAUAACUGGAGACAGCAUCUGAGAAGAAAUAUCAAUAAAAACUGAAGUGUGAAACCUGCCAAAAAUGAUGAACUUCAGUGUGAGUAUCUACAUUCGUAUGGUGUCUUUUAACCUUAGCUGGGUUUGACAAAGCUCUUACAACAUGCUUCUCAUUCACACGUGUGUUUUUGAAGCUCUGUGUUACUCAGACUGUACAUAAAGAUGGACGUAGCAUCUGGCUCCAGAAUUGAAGCCCACCCAGAAGUGUCAAAAACUUGCAAUAUCACGCCGUCCACUAGGGUUGGCUCCAAAAAGCUUUUUCUCCAUAGACCCCAAUUCAUUUUUGGAAAAAAUAAAAUGUGAUAGACUGA
This is a long non-coding RNA of Acanthochromis polyacanthus (spiny chromis), 2771 nucleotides long. RefSeq lists it as uncharacterized. The record is from RefSeq and is a predicted model, not a curated record. The transcript has 3 exons. Lineage: Eukaryota; Metazoa; Chordata; Actinopteri; Pomacentridae.